UUUGCUGGUAGUUCGACAGUAACAUCCACGUCAAAAGAUUAGUAUUAUAACUUUUCCAAUUCGAAUGAAUUAAUCUCACGAAACUUUGCUCACGUACUGAAUUGAACAUUACAGACAGAGUCUAAAAUGGAUUCGUUAUUGGAACCCACUUUGUACACCAUCAAAGGAAUGUGUAUUCUAGACAACGAUGGAAACAGAAUAUUGGCCAAGUAUUAUGAUAAAAACGUUUUUCCCACGGUGAAGGAGCAAAAGGCAUAUGAGAAAAACUUAUUCAACAAAACACAUCGUGCAAACGCCGAGAUUAUCAUGCUUGAUGGACUAACCUGUGUCUACAAGAGCAAUGUUGAUCUGUUCUUCUACGUGAUGGGCAGCACACAUGAGAACGAACUGAUUCUUCUAUCGGUAUUGAAUUGCCUGUUUGACACAGUUACUAUGAUUUUGAAGAAAAACGUUGAGAAGCGAGCGGUGUUGGAAAACUUGGACAUAGUCAUGCUAGCGUUCGACGAGAUUUGCGAUGGAGGAAUAAUUCUGGAUGCUGAUCCUUCAUCUGUAGUAAAACGAGUUGAUUUACGAAACGACGACAUUCCGAUAGGAGAGCAAACUGUUGCACAGGUAACUAAUGCCAUCCAUGGGCUAUUUUGGUGAACAUUGUUCAUCAAACCAUCAUUACUGCACAUCGAUAAUUGUAAUAGACCGAUCAACAUAGAAUACUUUAGUAUAAAGAUUGAUAUUAAACCACGAAUACGUUCUGCAAUCCGCUAAAGAACAAUUAAAAUGGUCUCUGCUAAAAUAACUUCAUAGAAGUCCACCAGUAGUACUUCUAUUCGACCACAAUGACGUUUUCAAAUGCAAUGGUCGUCUACUAAUCGUAAGAUUAUAUUCGUUUUAGAAAUAUUUUACAAUCAUAGCGAAAGAAGAAAUAAAUAUAAUACAAUCUGCAAAUGCA
RNA transcript from Malaya genurostris, 946 nucleotides. It is a transcript of the gene named coatomer subunit zeta-1, with no coding region annotated. NCBI's taxonomy places the organism in Eukaryota, Metazoa, Arthropoda, Insecta, Diptera, Culicidae. The transcript has 4 exons. The record is from RefSeq and is a predicted model, not a curated record.